RNAcentral lists this ribosomal RNA (606 nucleotides) under uncultured cyanobacterium. Its description in RNAcentral is "bacterial SSU rRNA". It matches the Rfam family "Bacterial small subunit ribosomal RNA", at positions 157 to 795 of the family's 1533-position model. Lineage: Bacteria; Bacillati; Cyanobacteriota. The record is from RNAcentral.
CUGCUGCUAAUACCCAAUGUGCCGAGAGGUGAAAGUAAUUCGCCUGAAGAGGAGCUCGCGUCUGAUUAGCUAGUUGGUAGAGUAAGAGCCUACCAAGGCGACGAUCAGUAGCUGGUCUGAGAGGAUGAGCAGCCACACUGGGACUGAGACACGGCCCAGACUCCUACGGGAGGCAGCAGUGGGGAAUUUUCCGCAAUGGGCGAAAGCCUGACGGAGCAAUACCGCGUGAGGGAGGAAGGUUCAAGUAAUUGUAAACCUCUUUUCUCAGGGAAGAAAAAAAUGACGGUACCUGAGGAAAAAGCAUCGGCUAACUCCGUGCCAGCAGCCGCGGUAAUACGGAGGAUGCAAGCGUUAUUCGGAAUUAUUGGGCGUAAAGCGUCCGCAGGUGGUGAGACAAGUCCGCCGUUAAAGAAGGGAGCUUAACUCCCGAGAGGCGGUGGAAACUGUAGCACUAGAGACCGGUAGGGGUAGAGGGAAUUCCCAGUGUAGCGGUGAAAUGCGUAGAGAUUGGGAAGAACACCAGUGGCGAAAGCGCUCUACUGGGCCGGAACUGACACUAAGGGACGAAAGCUAGGGGAGCGAAAGGGAUUAGAUACCCCUGUAGUC